Molecule: ribosomal RNA, 460 nt
Filed under: uncultured bacterium
Lineage: Bacteria
Description: partial 16S ribosomal RNA
Rfam family: Bacterial small subunit ribosomal RNA
Source: RNAcentral
CCUACGGGUGACAGCAGUGAGGAAUAUUGGUCAAUGGGCGGAAGCCUGAACCAGCCAAGUAGCGUGCAGGAUGACGGCCCUACGGGUUGUAAACUGCUUUUAUACGGGAAUAACGCGCCUUACGUGUAGGGCUUUGCAUGUACCGUAUGAAUAAGGACCGGCUAAUUCCGUGCCAGCAGCCGCGGUAAUACGGAAGGUCCGGGCGUUAUCCGGAUUUAUUGGGUUUAAAGGGAGCGUAGGCCGCAUGUCAAGCGUGCUGUAAAAUGUCCGGGCUCAACCCGGGCCUUGCAGCGCGAACUGGCGUGCAUGAGUCCGCGGAAAGCAGGCGGAAUUCGUCGUGUAGCGGUGAAAUGCUUAGAUAUGACGAAGAACCCCGAUUGCGAAGGCAGCUUGCUGCAGCGGAACUGACGCUGAUGCUCGAAAGCGCGGGUAUCGAACAGGAUUAGAUACCCGAGUAGUC